This 767-nucleotide ribosomal RNA is filed under the name uncultured Streptococcus sp. RNAcentral describes it as "bacterial SSU rRNA". It matches the Rfam family "Bacterial small subunit ribosomal RNA", at positions 28 to 776 of the family's 1533-position model. Lineage: Bacteria; Bacillati; Bacillota; Bacilli; Lactobacillales; Streptococcaceae. The record is from RNAcentral.
GACGAACGCUGGCGGCGUGCCUAAUACAUGCAAGUAGAACGCUGAAGAGAGGAGCUUGCUCUUCUUGGACGAGUUGCGAACGGGUGAGUAACGCGUAGGUAACCUGCCUUGUAGCGGGGGAUAACUAUUGGAAACGAUAGCUAAUACCGCAUAACAAUAGGUGACACAUGUCAUUUAUUUGAAAGGGGCAAUUGCUCCACUACAAGAUGGACCUGCGUUGUAUUAGCUAGUAGGUGAGGUAACGGCUCACCUAGGCGACGAUACAUAGCCGACCUGAGAGGGUGAUCGGCCACACUGGGACUGAGACACGGCCCAGACUCCUACGGGAGGCAGCAGUAGGGAAUCUUCGGCAAUGGGGGCAACCCUGACCGAGCAACGCCGCGUGAGUGAAGAAGGUUUUCGGAUCGUAAAGCUCUGUUGUAAGUCAAGAACGAGUGUGAGAGUGGAAAGUUCACACUGUGACGGUAGCUUACCAGAAAGGGACGGCUAACUACGUGCCAGCAGCCGCGGUAAUACGUAGGUCCCGAGCGUUGUCCGGAUUUAUUGGGCGUAAAGCGAGCGCAGGCGGUUUGAUAAGUCUGAAGUUAAAGGCUGUGGCUCAACCAUAGUUCGCUUUGGAAACUGUCAAACUUGAGUGCAGAAGGGGAGAGUGGAAUUCCAUGUGUAGCGGUGAAAUGCGUAGAUAUAUGGAGGAACACCGGUGGCGAAAGCGGCUCUCUUGGUCUGUAACUGACGCUGAGGCUCGAAAGCGUGGGGGAGCGAACAGG